CUCGUAGGUGGUUUGUCGCGUUGUUCGUGAAAACUCACAACUCAAUUGUGGGCGUGCGGGCGAUACGGGCAGACUGGAGUACUGCAGGGGAGACUGGAAUUCCUGGUGUAGCGGUGGAAUGCGCAGAUAUCAGGAGGAACACCGGUGGCGAAGGCGGGUCUCUGGGCAGUAACUGACGCUGAGGAGCGAAAGCGUGGGAGCGAACA
Molecule: ribosomal RNA, 206 nt
Filed under: uncultured bacterium
Lineage: Bacteria
Description: partial 16S ribosomal RNA
Rfam family: Bacterial small subunit ribosomal RNA
Source: RNAcentral